GCUUGGAUCCCCAAGUCAUUAUUUGGAGGAGAGCCUCUGCAAAGAACUGCCUGCUGUGCACUGGACUGUGAGACUCUGAGCCUCCUUGACGGGAAAGAUUUUCCUUCUGGACCUCCAUCUCCCUGGUGAAAGAAAGGUGGCACAUGGCAAAUCUUCAACAAACGUUGGCUGUUUGAAUGGAUUGGUGAAGGAUGAAUGGAUAAAUGAAGUGCAGAUCCCUUGCAAUUGGAGUCUGUGUUAGGGUCUGUGUUAUACCUCCUGUAUCCUUGGUACCUGGCACUGUUCCUUGAACAGAGUUUUUAAACCCGUGGAUGCUCUUUCAGCAUGGAAGUCACUGGAAUCAGUAUUUAGGGGAAGAGUUAUGAGUUGUUCUUUAUUUCUCUAUUAGUUAUAACCAGCUUACUUCCACAAAGAGCUUAAAGAAAAAGAACAUUAAGACUAGGACUUUUUCUCAAACAUCUUACAGAUUACAGGAUUGUUCUUUUGAACUCUGAAAAAUAAGCUGGUUUUGCUGUCAACUUUAUGAUUGGGUCAGAAGUCAUCAGUGCUUUAACAACAGAAUCUUGGGUGUGGUGUUUCCAUGAUUUCACCCAGGCAUGUUCCCAGCAUGAACAUAAGGGAGGGAACACAUGAUUAAAUAACGGUUUUUAACAUCUUGUCACAACUACAUGUUUAGCCGGACUCUCAAUAAAAAAUGAAUGUGUCCUCAG
This 710-nucleotide long non-coding RNA is filed under the name Homo sapiens (human). RNAcentral's name for it is "HSALNT0332795". The record is from RNAcentral. Lineage: Eukaryota; Metazoa; Chordata; Mammalia; Primates; Hominidae.